GUGAAUAUAGUUUAACCAAAAUUCUAGGUUGUGGUCCUAGCAAUGAAGACUAACAUUCUUCUAUUCACC
This 69-nucleotide transfer RNA is filed under the name Gastrophryne olivacea (western narrow-mouthed toad). Its description in RNAcentral is "tRNA-His". Lineage: Eukaryota; Metazoa; Chordata; Amphibia; Anura; Microhylidae. The record is from RNAcentral.